GCCUCUGUAGUUUAAUGGAUAAAACGACGGUCUUCGAAACCGUUAAAUGGGAGUUCAAGUCUCUCCAGAGGCACCA
RNAcentral lists this transfer RNA (76 nucleotides) under hydrothermal vent metagenome. RNAcentral's name for it is "tRNA-Arg-TCG". It matches the Rfam family "tRNA". From Rfam's summary of the family: Transfer RNA (tRNA) molecules are approximately 80 nucleotides in length. Their secondary structure includes four short double-helical elements and three loops (D, anti-codon, and T loops). The record is from RNAcentral.